This 504-nucleotide ribosomal RNA is filed under the name uncultured bacterium. Its description in RNAcentral is "partial 16S ribosomal RNA". It matches the Rfam family "Bacterial small subunit ribosomal RNA", at positions 29 to 507 of the family's 1533-position model. The record is from RNAcentral.
ACGAACGCUGGCGGCGUGCCUAAUACAUGCAAGUAGAACGCACAGUUUAUACCGUAGCUUGCUACACCAUAGGCUGUGAGUUGCGAACGGGUGAGUAACGCGUAGGUAACCUGCCUGGUAGCGGGGGAUAACUAUUGGAAACGAUAGCUAAUACCGCAUAAUAUUGAUUAUUGCAUGAUAAUUGAUUGAAAGACGCUAUUGCAUCACUACCAGAUGGACCUGCGUUGUAUUAGCUAGUAGGUGAGGUAACGGCUCACCUAGGCGACGAUACAUAGCCGACCUGAGAGGGUGAUCGGCCACACUGGGACUGAGACACGGCCCAGACUCCUACGGGAGGCAGCAGUAGGGAAUCUUCGGCAAUGGACGAAAGUCUGACCGAGCAACGCCGCGUGAGUGAAGAAGGUUUUCGGAUCGUAAAGCUCUGUUGUAAGAGAAGAACGGGUGUGAGAGUGGAAAGUUCACACUGUGACGGUAUCUUACCAGAAAGGGACGGCUAACUACGUG